UACGUAGGGUGCGAGCGUUGUCCGGAAUUAUUGGGCGUAAAGAGCUUGUAGGCGGUUUGUCGCGUCUGCCGUGAAAAUCCGGGGCUCAACCCCGGACUUGCGGUGGGUACGGGCAGACUAGAGUGUGGUAGGGGAGACUGGAAUUCCUGGUGUGGCGGUGAAAUGCGCAGAUAUCAGGAGGAACACCGAUGGCGAAGGCAGGUCUCUGGGCCACUACUGACGCUGAGGUGCGAAAGCGUGGGGAGCAAACAGG
Molecule: ribosomal RNA, 253 nt
Filed under: uncultured bacterium
Lineage: Bacteria
Description: partial 16S ribosomal RNA
Rfam family: Bacterial small subunit ribosomal RNA
Source: RNAcentral